Molecule: ribosomal RNA, 1977 nt
Filed under: Clostridioides difficile
Lineage: Bacteria; Bacillati; Bacillota; Clostridia; Peptostreptococcales; Peptostreptococcaceae
Description: partial 23S ribosomal RNA
Rfam family: Bacterial large subunit ribosomal RNA
Source: RNAcentral
UGCGGACAUAUCAUAACGAAGAGGUAUCGUAAUUGAAGAGGUUUGGAAAGACCCACCACAGAAGGUAAUAGUCCUGUAUGUUAAACGAGAAGACUUUAGAUAUGAUCCAGAGUACCACGGGACACGUGAAACCCUGUGGGAAGCAGGAGGGACCACCCUCCAAGGCUAAAUACUACCUAGUGACCGAUAGCGUAUAGUACCGUGAGGGAAAGGUGAAAAGAACCCCGGGAGGGGAGUGAAAUAGAACCUGAAACCCUGCACUUACAAGCUGUGGAAGCACAUUUCUUGUGUGACCGCGUACUUUUUGUAGAACGGGCCAACGAGUUACGUUAAGUAGCAAGGUUAAGCACUUAAGGUGCGGAGCCGUAGCGAAAGCGAGUUUUAACUGAGCGUUCAGUUACUUGACGUAGACCCGAAACCGGGCGACCUACCCAUGAGCAGGAUGAAGCGAAAGUAAAAUUUCGUGGAGGUCCGAACCCACGAGCGUUGAAAAGCUCGGGGAUGACUUGUGGGUAGCGGUGAAAUUCCAAUCGAGCCCGGAGAUAGCUGGUUCUCCCCGAAAUAGCUUUAGGGCUAGCCUCAAGGUGAGAGAUACGGAGGUAGAGCACUGAAUGUCCUAGGGGGUAUUGCACCUACCGAAGACUAUCAAACUCCGAAUGCCGUCAUCUUAUACUUGGGAGUCAGACUGUGGGUGAUAAGAUUCAUAGUCGAAAGGGCAACAGCCCAGAUCGUCAGCUAAGGUCCCUAAAUGUAAGUUAAGUGGUAAAGGAUGUGGGAUUGCACAGACAACCAGGAUGUUGGCUUAGAAGCAGCCACUCAUUCAAAGAGUGCGUAAUAGCUCACUGGUCGAGUGAUCCUGCGCCGAAGAUUUCCGGGGCUAAAACUUACUACCGAAGCUACGGCAUCAGUAAUGAUGGGUAGGGGAGCUUCCCAUACGGGUUGAAGCAUGACCGUAAGGACAUGUGGACAGUAUGGGAGUGAGAAUGUUGGCAUGAGUAGCGAGAUGUGGGUGAGAAUCCCACAGGCCGUAAACCCAAGGUUUCCAGGGGAAGGUUCGUCCGCCCUGGGUUAGUCGGGACCUAAGCUGAGGCCGAAAGGCGUAGGUGAUGGACAACAGGUUGAUAUUCCUGUACUACCGAUAACCGUUUGAGAGAAGGGAUGACACAGUAGGAUAAGCUAAGCACACUGUUGGUUAUGUGUGCCCAAGCAUUGAGGCAGUCAAAGUAGGCAAAUCCGCUUUGAUAAUGCUGGGAUGUGAUGGGGAGCGAAAUUUAGUAGCGAAGUAGCUGAUUUCACACUGUCAAGAAAAGUCUCUAUCGAGGUUAAAGGUACCCGUACCGCAAACCGACACAGGUGGGUGAGGAGAGUAUCCUAAGGCCAGCGAGAGAACUGUUGUUAAGGAACUCGGCAAAAUGACCCCGUAACUUAGGGAUAAGGGGUGCCACCAUCAGGUGGCCGCAGAGAAUAGGCCCAAGCGACUGUUUACCAAAAACAUAGGUUUCUGCUAAGUCGCAAGACGAUGUAUAGGAGCUGACGCCUGCCCGGUGCUGGAAGGUUAAGGGGAUCUGUUAGAGCAAUCGAAGCAGUGAACUUAAGCCCCAGUAAACGGCGGCCGUAACUAUAACGGUCCUAAGGUAGCGAAAUUCCUUGUCGGGUAAGUUCCGACCCGCACGAAAGGCGUAACGAUUUGGGCACUGUCUCAACAACAGACUCGGUGAAAUUGUAAUUCCGGUGAAGAUGCCGGAUACCUGCGACAGGACGGAAAGACCCCAUGGAGCUUUACUGUAGCUUGACAUUGGGUCUUGGUACUACAUGUACAGGAUAGGUGGGAGGCUUUGAAACCAGGACGCCAGUUUUGGCGGAGCCAUCCUUGGGAUACCACCCUUGUAGUACUGGGACUCUAACCAUAGGCCAUGAAUCUGGUCUUGGGACACUGUCAGGUGGGCAGUUUGACUGGGGCGGUCGCCUCCCAAAAGG